AACGAACGCUGGCGGCAUGCCUAACACAUGCAAGUCGAACGAGACCUUCGGGUCUAGUGGCGCACGGGUGCGUACGGCGGGGGAAUCCGCCCUUAGGUUCGGAAUAACUCCCCGAAAGGGGUGCUAAUACCGGCUAAUGUCUCCGGCCAAAUGCUUUAUCGCCUUUGGAUGGGCUGGGGUUGGCUUAGCUGGUUGGUGGGGUAAAAGCCUACGAAGGCGACGAUCUGUAGCUGGGCCGAGAGGAGGAUCAGCAACACUGGGACUGAGACACGGCCCAGAAUCGUACGGGAGGCAGCAGUGGGGAAAUUUGGACAAUGGGCGAAAGCCUGAUCCAGCCAUGCCGAGUGGAGGAUGAAGGCCUUCGGGUGGUAAACUGAUUUUGUACGGAACGAAAAGCCUUCUUUUAAUACAGGAGGGUCAUGACGGUACCGUAAGAAUAAGCACCGGCUAACUACGU
This 457-nucleotide ribosomal RNA is filed under the name uncultured bacterium. RNAcentral describes it as "partial 16S ribosomal RNA". It matches the Rfam family "Bacterial small subunit ribosomal RNA", at positions 29 to 506 of the family's 1533-position model. The record is from RNAcentral.